This 194-nucleotide RNase P RNA is filed under the name Clostridia bacterium. RNAcentral describes it as "partial RNase P RNA component class A". It matches the Rfam family "Bacterial RNase P class A", at positions 161 to 367 of the family's 367-position model. From Rfam's summary of the family: Ribonuclease P (RNase P) is a ubiquitous endoribonuclease, found in archaea, bacteria and eukarya as well as chloroplasts and mitochondria. Its best characterised activity is the generation of mature 5'-ends of tRNAs by cleaving the 5'-leader elements of precursor-tRNAs. The record is from RNAcentral. Lineage: Bacteria; Bacillati; Bacillota; Clostridia.
GGCGAGGUAAGAGCUCACCGCCCCUACGGUAACGCAGGGGGCUGUGUAAACCCCACCCGAAGCAAGAUAGGAACGCGUGUGUAAGCGCUACGCGGCGCGCGUUUGUUUUAUUCGCUUGAACUUACAGGCGACUGUAAGUCUAGAUAGAUAGCCGUAUUAAACGACAGAACCCGGCUUAUAGAUUUGCUCGCACC